Molecule: ribosomal RNA, 253 nt
Filed under: uncultured bacterium
Lineage: Bacteria
Description: partial 16S ribosomal RNA
Rfam family: Bacterial small subunit ribosomal RNA
Source: RNAcentral
UACGAAGGGGGCUAGCGUUGUUCGGAAUUACUGGGCGUAAAGCGCACGUAGGCGGCUGCUCAAGUCGAAUGUGAAAACUCGAGGCUCAACCUCGAGCCUGCAUUCGAUACUGGGCGGCUAGAGUCUGGUAGGGGGAUCUGGAAUUCCUGGUGUAGCGGUGGAAUGCGCAGAUAUCAGGAGGAACACCGGUGGCGAAGGCGGGAUCCUGGGCCAGUACUGACGCUGAGGAGCGAAAGCGUGGGGAGCAAACAGG